Recurvomyces mirabilis is the source of this 96-nucleotide non-coding RNA. NCBI's taxonomy places the organism in Eukaryota, Fungi, Ascomycota, Dothideomycetes, Mycosphaerellales, Teratosphaeriaceae. The record is from the annotation of a RefSeq genome assembly.
GAGCCUAUGGUCCAGUGGUAGGAUUCCAGCCUCAUUCUUCUUCCCAUCGGGAGGCCUGAAUCGCUGGCGACCGGAGUUCGACUCUCCGUAGGCUCC